GAAUUUAUGCGAUCUGGCUGCGACAUCUGAUUGAUCGCCAGGGUUGAUUCUGCUGAUCUGACUGGCUAGACAGGUGUCCCCUUCCUCCCUCACCACUCCAUGUGCGUCCCUCCCGAAGCUGCGCACUCGGUCGAAGAGGACGACCUUCCCGAAUAGAGGAGGACCGGUCUUUGGUCAAGGGUAUACGAGUAGCUGUGCUCCUCUGCUAGAACCUCCAAACAAGCUCUCAAGUUCACUGUCAUCUUUACUGUCAUUAUCAGCAGAGACGAGACAACAAAUGAUACAGCUUGACAAGUAUCCAAAAUUGU
This 308-nucleotide small nuclear RNA is filed under the name Peromyscus maniculatus bairdii (prairie deer mouse). Its description in RNAcentral is "7SK RNA (ENSPEMG00000003946.2)". It matches the Rfam family "7SK RNA". From Rfam's summary of the family: 7SK was discovered as an abundant small nuclear RNA in the mid-70s but a possible function has only recently been suggested. Two independent studies have found that 7SK RNA binds the CDK9/cyclin T complex (known as elongation factor P-TEFb). P-TEFb activates transcription by phosphorylating the C-terminal domain of RNA polymerase II. Lineage: Eukaryota; Metazoa; Chordata; Mammalia; Rodentia; Cricetidae. The record is from RNAcentral.